AGUGAACGCUGGCGGCAGGCCUAACACAUGCAAGUCGAACGGCAGCACAGGGGAGCUUGCUCCCUGGGUGGCGAGUGGCGGACGGGAGAGGAAUACAUCGGAAUCUACCUUUUCGUGGGGGAUAACGUAGGGAAACUUACGCUAAUACCGCAUAAGACCUUCGGGUGAAAGCCGGGGACCUUCGGGCCUGGCGCGGAUAG
Molecule: ribosomal RNA, 200 nt
Filed under: uncultured bacterium
Lineage: Bacteria
Description: partial 16S ribosomal RNA
Rfam family: Bacterial small subunit ribosomal RNA
Source: RNAcentral